This 917-nucleotide long non-coding RNA is filed under the name Apis florea (little honeybee). RNAcentral's name for it is "uncharacterized LOC116414140, transcript variant X3". Lineage: Eukaryota; Metazoa; Arthropoda; Insecta; Hymenoptera; Apidae. The record is from RNAcentral.
UAGGUUAUGGAAGUUACUGAAAUUCAAGUAUAUAAAUUUUCAAAUUAUUCUAAACAGAAUUUUAAUUGCUUAUGAUAAGAAAAUUGCUAAGAUUUUCUUUACUGUGAUUUGAAGAAUAUAAAAUAAUUGCAGUCGAAGUAUGAUCAAUAUUUUUUUGUCAUUUAAAAUUUCUUUCAAAAUUAAUAUAAAGCUUUAACAAGGGGAAAAAAAGGAAAAGGAAAAGAGAAUAGCUUUCUGACAGCUUCUCAAGGGGGACACUGAUGGCACCUCGUUUGGAGGCAAACUUUUUUUCACGAAGAUUCAGUGCGGCAAUAAAGACGCUGGCGGAUUUAACGUAGCGUGUCUUCGUUAAGCAAGUCAAACGUAGACCCAACUUUUCCCUUCUUGCUUUCUUGGUUUAAAAUAACUGGUUGCGUUCGAAACCUUCUCAUGUAAAGUUGACUAAACCAUGAAAGAACCUCUACUUUAACUAACUAUAACAUCUAUCGAAUAAAAUAGAUACUGCUAAAAGUUAUUCUCAUCAUCAGAUAAAAUAUGGAAAAGAAGAAGAAAAAUUGAAAAAGGUAUGAUAUCUUCCCCGACCUAUUGGCGCCAAAAUGAUCGUUAAUGUUUCUUUGUCGGUUGUUUUGUUUAAGUUUCAUCUACUCGUCGGAGCAGUUAGAACUUGUUUCCACAACGUCGAGACGUUAGUCUGCCACGAUCAUCGAGGCUCGUAAAAAAACUCGUAAAAUUGUAGCAAUGAUACUACUGUCUGUUGUGGAUCUGGAGAAGGAAAAUUGGUAAAGUUUAGAGAAUCGCUAAUGAUGUCUAUUAUAUGAUUUAGGAGUUAUUCUGAUGUAAGUACUAUCAGAAUACCUAUUGUAAGUAUUGUUGUAGGAAAUUGCCAUAUUUAUAUAUAAACUUACAUGUAACUUAAU